CCACGACUGUCCCGGGGCUCCCCCUUCUCUCGCCCGUGUCUCUCCAGCCCUCCCUCACCCCACGUUCCAGCGCCGGGCCUGUCUGCGUCGGGACGUGGCUCGGAUUGUGGCCCGGAUCGUGGCCCGGAUCCCUCCCAGCCUCUGGAGAGUACAGUGACUGUAUCUCUGAGCAUCUGGUGGAAUUGGCCUGAGGUGCCAAUGCCUCGGCAUUAGAGAAAGAGAUUGGUCCAGAACAGUAUCCAGUCAAUGAGCACUAUUUUGGAUUAGUCAAUG
Long non-coding RNA from Neogale vison (American mink), 273 nucleotides. RefSeq lists it as uncharacterized. The record is from RefSeq and is a predicted model, not a curated record. The transcript is spliced from 3 exons. Lineage: Eukaryota; Metazoa; Chordata; Mammalia; Carnivora; Mustelidae.